Molecule: transfer RNA, 64 nt
Filed under: Systolederus spicupennis
Lineage: Eukaryota; Metazoa; Arthropoda; Insecta; Orthoptera; Tetrigidae
Description: tRNA-Asn
Source: RNAcentral
UUAAUUGAAGCCAAAAAAGAGGCAUAUUAUUGUUAAUAAUAUAAAUGGAAUGUACCCAGUUAAA